CGGAAAGUUUCCGCUCAUUCUCCCGUUAGUCCGCACACGUGUGCGGUGGCUGCCCUGCCCGCUGCCUCUGACGAUCAUUUUUUGAUCUCCAUCCUCCCUACGUUGCUUAAACAUAUUUGCGAGAAUACUGUUCUCUGAUUGCAAUGGAUUUUUUGCACAUAUUGCAACUUCCUGAGGAAUGAACAUAAAGAAAUGCGUACGAACGAAAAUUCGAGAGAUCCUCAGAUCUAAUGCACUCACAAUAGUGCAUAGAAAAGAAUUGUCCAAAACAGGGAUGGAAAAACAGAUCACUGGUAAGUGUUUU
Molecule: long non-coding RNA, 304 nt
Organism: Stegodyphus dumicola
Lineage: Eukaryota; Metazoa; Arthropoda; Arachnida; Araneae; Eresidae
Source: RefSeq, a predicted model, not a curated record